UGCAAACACGAGACACGCAGCUCGACACUGGAAAUCAGCAACGUCCAAAAGACUGAGUCUGGCAUUUACUACUGUGCCUAUAAAUACAGCAGCUACCUGAUCUUCGGGAAUGGAUCCACGCUGAUUGCUGGAGACAGUUAUACCAACAGCAGCUGGGUGAUGAUUCUGGUCCCAUUUCCACGUGGCAGUCAAGUCACUGGGACAGCAAAUCUGGCCUGUGUGAUCCAUGGAGUGUCCAGCCCAGUCCAUGUUUCCUGGAGUGUUUCUGGGGAGCUGCAGGAACAGGGGCUGACGCGCUCAUUGAGAGCAAGGGAUGGAUCUUUAACACUCAUAAAUCACAUCAGCGUCCCCAUGGACACCUGGACCAGUGGGAAGAAUUUCACCUGUGAAGUCAAAUUCAACUCUUCUGGCAACAGUGUGAAGAGAAGUACCAGGUAUCCUGCAGCCCAUUCCAACGAGUGUGUGGCGCAGACGCUGCGCUAUGCAGUGGCAAUUUUCUUGGUGGUAUUGAUGGUGUCUCUGAGCCUGGACUGGAGUCAUUGCUGUUCUAAUCCAG
Molecule: long non-coding RNA, 556 nt
Filed under: Chrysemys picta bellii (western painted turtle)
Lineage: Eukaryota; Metazoa; Chordata; Testudines; Emydidae
Description: lncRNA (ENSCPBG00000008150.1)
Source: RNAcentral